UACGUAGGGUGCGAGCGUUGUCCGGAAUUACUGGGCGUAAAGAGCUCGUAGGUGGUUUGUCGCGUUGUUCGUGAAAACUCACAGCUCAACUGUGGGCGUGCGGGCGAUACGGGCAGACUGGAGUACUGCAGGGGAGACUGGAAUUCCUGGUGUAGCGGUGGAAUGCGCAGAUAUCAGGAGGAACACCGGUGGCGAAGGCGGGUCUCUGGGCAGUAACUGACGCUGAGGAGCGAAAGCCAGGGGAGCAACGGG
This 252-nucleotide ribosomal RNA is filed under the name uncultured bacterium. RNAcentral describes it as "partial 16S ribosomal RNA". It matches the Rfam family "Bacterial small subunit ribosomal RNA", at positions 524 to 775 of the family's 1533-position model. The record is from RNAcentral.